Molecule: ribosomal RNA, 843 nt
Filed under: uncultured Sebacina
Lineage: Eukaryota; Fungi; Basidiomycota; Agaricomycetes; Sebacinales; Sebacinaceae
Description: eukaryotic LSU rRNA
Rfam family: Eukaryotic large subunit ribosomal RNA
Source: RNAcentral
GGAUUCCCCUAGUACGGCGAGUGAAGAGGGAAGAGCUCAAAUUUUGAAUCCGGCGUCUUUGGCGUCCGAAUUGUAAUCUAGAGAAGUGUUUUCCGUGACGGACCGUGCAUAAGUCUCCUGGAAUGGAGUGUCAUAGAGGGUGAGAAUCCCGUACAUGGCAUGGACUCCCGUUGCUCUGUGAUACACUCUCGACGAGUCGAGUUGUUUGGGAAUGCAGCUCUAAAUGGGUGGUAAAUGCCAUCUAAAGCUAAAUAUUGGCGAGAGACCGAUAGCGAACAAGUACCGUGAGGGAAAGAUGAAAAGCACUUUGGAAAGAGAGUGAAACAGUACGUGAAAUUGUUGAAAGGGAAACGCUUGAAGUCAGUCGCGCCGUUCGGGAUUCAGCCUUGCUUCUGCUCGGUUUACUUCCCGUUGGGUGGGUCAACAUCAGUUUCGGUCGGAGGAGAAAGGCUUGGGGAAGGUGGCAGCAUUCGUGCUGUGUUAUAGCCCCUUGUUGUAUACUUCGACUGGGACUGAGGACUGCAGCACGCCUUUGGCCGGGGUUCGCCCACGUACGUGCUUAGGAUGUUGGCAUAAUGGCUUUAAGCGACCCGUCUUGAAACACGGACCAAGGAGUCUAACAUGUGCGCGAGUGUUUGGGUGUUAAACUCGGACGCGAAAUGAAAGUGAAAAGUUGGGAACACUUCUGUGUGCACCGACGCCCGGAGCUGACCUUCUGUGACGCAUCUGCGGUAGAGCGUAUAUGUUGGGACCCGAAAGAUGGUGAACUAUGCCUGAAUAGGGUGAAGCCAGAGGAAACUCUGGUGGAGGCUCGUAGCGAUUCUGACGUGCAAAUCGAUCGAA